This 372-nucleotide ribosomal RNA is filed under the name uncultured organism. RNAcentral describes it as "partial 16S ribosomal RNA". It matches the Rfam family "Bacterial small subunit ribosomal RNA", at positions 527 to 896 of the family's 1533-position model. The record is from RNAcentral.
GUAGGUGGCAAGCGUUGUCCGGAAUUAUUGGGCGUAAAGCGCGCGCAGGCGGUUCUUUAAGUCUGAUGUGAAAGCCCACGGGCUCAACCGUGGAGGGUCAUUGGAAACUGGAGAACUUGAGUACAGAAGAGGAAAGCGGAAUUCCACGUGUAGCGGUGAAAUGCGUAGAGAUGUGGAGGAACAACAGUGGCGAAGGCGGCUUUCUGGUCUGUAACUGACGCUGAGGCGCGAAAGCGUGGGGAGCAAACAGGAUUAGAUACCCUGGUAGUCCACGCCGUAAACGAUGAGUGCUAAGUGUUAGGGGGUUUCCGCCCCUUAGUGCUGCAGCUAACGCAUUAAGCACUCCGCCUGGGGAGUACGGCCGCAAGGCUG